GACGAACGCUGGCGGCGUGCCUAAUACAUGCAAGUCGAACGCUGAAGGAGGAGCUUGCUUCUCUGGAUGAGUUGCGAACGGGUGAGUAACGCGUAGGUAACCUGCCUGGUAGCGGGGGAUAACUAUUGGAAACGAUAGCUAAUACCGCAUAAUAGUAGAUGUUGCAUGACAUUUGCUUAAAAGGUGCAAUUGCAUCACUACCAGAUGGACCUGCGUUGUAUUAGCUAGUUGGUGGGGUAACGGCUCACCAAGGCGACGAUACAUAGCCGACCUGAGAGGGGGAUCGGCCACACUGGGACUGAGACACGGCCCAGACUCCUACGGGAGGCAGCAGUAGGGAAUCUUCGGCAAUGGGCGGAAGUCUGACCGAGCAACGCCGCGUGAGUGAAGAAGGUUUUCGGAUCGUAAAGCUCUCUUGUAAGAGAAGAACGAGUGUGAGAGUGGAAAGUUCACACUGUGACGGUAUCUUACCAGAAAGGGACGGCUAACUACGUG
This 495-nucleotide ribosomal RNA is filed under the name uncultured bacterium. Its description in RNAcentral is "partial 16S ribosomal RNA". It matches the Rfam family "Bacterial small subunit ribosomal RNA", at positions 28 to 507 of the family's 1533-position model. The record is from RNAcentral.